GACGAACGCUGGCGGCGUGCUUAACACGUGCAAGUCGAACGGACAGACAGAGAGCUUGCUCUCUUGAAGUUAGUGGCGAACGGGUGAGUAACGCGUAAUCAACCUGCCCUUCAGAGGGGGAUAACAACGGGAAACCGUUGCUAAUACCGCGUACGAUUCAUGAACGGCAUCGUUUAUGAAUGAAAGGUGGCCUCUAUGUAUAAGCUAUCGCUGAAGGAGGGGAUUGCGUCUGAUUAGCUAGUUGGAGGGGUAACGGCCCACCAAGGCAAUGAUCAGUAGCCGGUCUGAGAGGAUGAACGGCCACAUUGGGACUGAGACACGGCCCAAACUCCUACGGGAGGCAGCAGUGGGGAAUCUUCCGCAAUGGACGAAAGUCUGACGGAGCAACGCCGCGUGAGUGAUGAAGGUCUUCGGAUUGUAAAGCUCUGUUAAUCGGGACGAAAGAGUUCUGCGUGAAUAAUGCAGAAAAGUGACGGUACCGGAAUAGAAAGCCACGGCUAACUACGUGCCAGCAGCCGCAGUAA
RNAcentral lists this ribosomal RNA (524 nucleotides) under uncultured bacterium. RNAcentral describes it as "partial 16S ribosomal RNA". It matches the Rfam family "Bacterial small subunit ribosomal RNA", at positions 28 to 523 of the family's 1533-position model. The record is from RNAcentral.